RNAcentral lists this long non-coding RNA (7275 nucleotides) under Homo sapiens (human). RNAcentral's name for it is "HSALNT0157463". The record is from RNAcentral. Lineage: Eukaryota; Metazoa; Chordata; Mammalia; Primates; Hominidae.
ACAGGGGCCUGCUCAUUCCCGGCAUGCUGUGCGUCUCCUCUGGAAGGACUGGGCGUGCCCGGCGUGCUGUGCGUCCCCUCCGGAAGGACUGGGCGUGCCCGGCGUGCUGUGCGUCUCCUCCGGAAGGACUGGGCGUGCCCGGCGUGCUGUGCGUCCCCUCCGGAAGGACUGGGCGUGCCCGGCGUGCUGUGCGUCUCCUCUGGAAGGACUGGGCGUGCCCGGCGUGCUGUGCGUCCCCUCCGGAAGGACUGGGCAUGCAGUCUGUAGAGUCCGUCCACACGAAGAAGACUCCCAUCCACACCUUCCAGGUGGACCACCUGCUACAUGGAGUUAGAAGCCAGGAAUCACGUGACUGCCCGCCCAAUCGUGACCCAUCACAGGCUCUGUGCACAAGGCACAGACAUUUAAAGUCAUUUUUAUUGAGGCGUGAUUUGGGGUGUCCUGAUAAGAAGAGGAGCUGAGGACACAGACAUGUCCAGCGGGACCUUGGGAGGACAUAGAGGGAAGACGCCUUCUGCAAACCACUGAGAGAGGCCUCGAGGAACCAGCCCUGGCCGACACCUUGAUAUGGGACUUCCAGCCUCCAGGACGGUAAAACACUUAGUCCAAACAGAUGCAGGGACCUGCCAAUGGGAUAUAAACGUAACAUCCAUGCUUGAGAAUGGAUUCUUUCACUCUCAUCCCUUUGCACAGAAGACUCCAGGCAGAAAAAUUAUACAGACCACAUUUAUUCUACUUCUUCCAUUGUUCCAAAAGUUGAUACUUGGGAUCCAUUGAGAUGCGGUCUCUACCUGGCCUCCCCCAUGUUGACUGCUUUUGUACUGCACCCAUGGAGACAAAGAAAAGACAAAGAAGACGGAACCUCCAUGUUGAAUAUACCUGGUUCCAGGGCGAGGUUCAGCAAUUACAAUAGUGACAUCAGAGAUCGCUGAUAACAGAUCAUCAUCACAGAUGUGAUAACAAGAAAAAAAUGAGAUAUUUUUAUCAUUGAUGUGAUGGCAAAUAUUGAGUAUCAACUUGAUUGAAUUGAAGGAUGCAAGGUAUUAUUCCUGGGUGUGUCUGUGAGGGUGUUGCCAAAGGAGGUUAACAUUUGAGUUGGUGAACUGGGAAAGGCAGACCCACCCUCAGUCUGGGUGGGCACCAUCUAAUCAGCUGCCAGCAUGGCUAGGAUAAAAGCAGGCAGAGGAAGGUGGACGGACUAGACUUGUUAAGUCUUCUGGCCUCCAUCUUUCUCCUGUGCUGGAUGCUUCCUGCCCUCGAACAUUGGACUCCAAGUUCUUCAGCUUCUGGACUCUUGGACCUACACCAGUGGUUUGCAGGGGCUCUCGGGCCUUUGACCACAGACUGAAGGCUGCACUGUCGGCUUCCCUACUUCUGAGAUUUUGGAACUUGGACUGGCUUCCUUGCUCCUCAGCUUGCAGAAGGCCUAUUGUGGGCCUUCACCUUGUGAUCAUAUGAGUCAAUUCUCCUUAAUAAACUCCGUUUCAUAUAUACAUCUAUCCGAUCAGUCCUGUCCCUCUAGGGAACCCUGACUAAUACAAUUGUCAAAAUGUGACACAGAGGCACAAAGUGAGCACCUGCUGUAGGAAAAAUGGUGCUGAUAGACUUGACUCAGGGUUGCCACAAAAUUCAGUUUGUAAAAAACACAGUAUCUGCAUAAUGCAAUAAAAGAAGAUAGGCAUGCCAUAUUCUUCAUGAUUUUCAUGGGAAUAUAGUGUAUCUUUAGAGAGCACUGUCCAUUUAUAAUAAUCCUACACUUAAAUAAACAUUUUUCAUUACCCUUUCUAAAAAUAAUUUUAGUAGUUCAGUUUAAUUGCUAUUUUAUCUAUUGAAGGUUCAUUAAUUAAACUCAAUAAGUUACUUAAAAAAAAAUCCUUAUUGUUGAUAAUGCCUGAAAUUAAUGCACUCUGGAGUAUCUGUUUACAAGAUGAAACUGUCGUACUAAUUAUAACUAAAACAAACACUUUACCUCAAGCCUCUCACUUAGCCAAAAAGUGACCUAUUAUGGGAAAACACACAAACAAAGUGAUAGUUACUGAGCCCAAAACUUAAUAAAUGGAAGUGAAGAGUUCCGAAAAAGGGCUGUAUGUUACAAACGAUCUUUGAAAGCAACAGUGUUAGGAAUGCAAUUAUAACAUUUGCACAGUGACUCUUUUGUUAUUUAGUAUCUUACGUAUUUUUUCAUUUGAUCCAAACAAUUGCCCAGCUAGGAAGUUUUUCUGAGUAUGAUUCUCUUUUUUUUUUAAAUAUCAUGUAAACCAAGAUUCUAGGAAAAAAAAAAAGACUCAAAUCUAACAUCAUCAUUGUGAAAGAGGUAAGACUUGAAUUUGUAUUUCUUAUCACUUUUUUUUCAUAAAACUCUUUCUGUUCCCACAGGUGGCCUUUUCUAAUAACCAGUAUCACAACGGGCCUUCUUAAUGUGGGUUUUUAAAACCACAAACAAAAACCAUUAGCUUCAAACCUUUGAAGACUACUUAAAAAUAAAUGCGCAUAAUUCUAGGGGGAAUAGUCUCACCAAAUAAUCAUUUGCAAAGCCCUUUGUAAUUAAGUACAGGGGACAUUACUGGGAUGCAAUGUUCCGUAAAGAGCUCGACUGUUGUUCUUGCAAGAAUGCACCCAAACAAUGAUAAUAAGUGAAACAAUGAUUGAUAAAAUGAUAGCAAUGCUCAAUUUCCAAAUCAGAAUUUGCCUGCCAAUUGAUGUCGGAAAGAACAUCCUUUUCUGAGAACUGGCGUCCUCUUAGAAAGGUUUUUGAAGGGCAAAGGUCUGGUCUUCAUCAUAUCGCUCAGUUUUCUUUUUUCUUUCAUUAUAAGUAUCCUCGUAGGAUAAAUUUUAAUCUGAACCUAAACUAAUUCCCUGUCAAACAAACUAGAAAUGAAAACUUUUACAAAGGUACUAAAGGGCAACCCUUGGAACGAACUCUCUUUGGUUAUGCCUAGACUAGAAAAAAGCUAUUUUUAUUAGGUACAGAAGUAGACCUGAGUGUUGGACUCUGGAAUAGGCACCACCUUGCCCAGGCAGAGAGGAAAUGAGCAUGACUCUUCCUCAGUCAGUGAUAUUAACAAGCCGAAGGCAGCAGAAGACUGAUCAAGGCAGAAGGGUGACUGGUUUAUGAAAGAGCUGAACUAUUUAUUAGCCCACAUUAAUCUCACAUACAAAUAAAUAUAUGUGAAAAUUUAGAGUAAGAAACUUGAGGCCAGCUCCUAGAUGUGCAGUUUACAGAGCAAAGUUCCACUAAAAUUCUGCGUCACUCUCUGUGUGAGUCAUUUAUUUAAUUUUUAAACAAGCAUAAGGUGUCUUUGUGUUCACUCAAUGUAUCAGGCAUUGUUUUGAACACCUAAUCAAAGAAAGCAGAGAUGUGAUGUCUGCCCCCAUAGGAGGUUAUUGACCAGUUGCACUGACAGCUGAAAUAUCCACAAGCCUGAGACACGUCCUGGGCCACGGUCGUGGUAGGAACAGCAUGCUGUGGAAACAGGCGGGUGACACACCACGUCAAUCUGGACCUUUCUAAGGCUUCCUGGGGGAGGUGACACUCCGGAUGGGAUACAGAAGAUCAAACAGAGACUAUUUAAGAGUGUGAGAACAGAGACCAGGUAAGAACAUGGAGAGUAUGAGAAUGCCAAACGCAAGGUGAGGUAGGCCUGGUGCAAAUGUGCUAAGUCUUAAAAAGUUAGGGUGAACGCAGACUCCCAGGCCUCGAUGAAAGCCAAGAACUCAGAUCAUUCAUAUGAAUGCUAAUAAAAUAGGCAGGAGAGGUAAAGAGGAGGGUUCAGAAAAUAAACAUAUUCGCAUAUCAUCAACAACCUGAUCGAUCAAAAAUGACUAGGAAUGGUAUGUAUUCAAUUGCUGAGGCUGGGAAGGAUCAUGAAAUCUCAGACACGCUCAUGGAUUGUCAUUUUACAAAAGGGCUGAAUUGUGCAUUUAUAUGCUCAUAAUAAUAUAGUAAUAUAUAAUAUAAUAUAAAACUUGUAUAUAUAUGCUCAUAAAAAUGUGUAAUAUGUAUGCUCAUAAUAAUAUAGGUAAUAUUACAUAUUACAUAUUACCUAUAUUAUUACCUAUACCUGUGUAAUAAUUGUAUAAUUAUCACAUGCAUGCUCAUAAUGUCAUAUAUAUGCUUAUAAUAAUAUAGGUAAUAUAUAAUAUAAUAUAAUACCUGUGUAAUAAUUUAUAAUUAUCAUAUGUAUUUUCAUAAUAAUAUGUCAUAUAUAUGUUCAUAAUAAUGUAGGUAACAUAAUAUUAUAAUACCUGUGUAAUAAUUGUAUAAUUAUUAUAUGUAUGCUUAUAGUAAUAUGUCAUAUAUAUGCUCAUAAUAAUAUAAGUAAUAGAUAUUAUAAUACCUGUGUAAUUGUAUAAUUAUCAUAUGUAUGCUCAUAAUAAUAUGCCAUAUAUAUGCUCAUAAUAAUAUAGGUAAUAUAUAAAAUUAUAGUAUAUGCGUGUGUAAUAAUUCUAUAAUUAUUAUAUGUGUGCUCAUAAUAAUAUAUAAUAUAUGCUCAUAAUAAUAUAGGUAAUAAACACUAUUAUAAUACACUGUUAUAAUACAGUUGUGCAAACAUUGUAUAAUAAGUAAUCAUAUAUAUGUUAAUAAUAAUCUCCAAAAGUAAAUAUGAUAAUUUCCCCAUCUUACAUAGAAUUGGAAACUAAGUCAAGAGCAGUUAAAAGACCUGCUCGAUGUCACAAGGCAAGUCGCAGGGGCCCGGGGUUUGUACACAGGCAGUGUUUCUCCAGCGUCUGUGCACGUACUCACCAUAUCCCUCCUUCUUUCCGUGUGGAUGCAUGCUGCUUUUGAGCGAGAGUUUGGCAUUUUUCAUAAGAGUCAAAGAAAAGCACCUGAGAUGCGUCAGGGCCCACCGCCGGCGCUGAGGAUGGAACAGUGAACACAGCAAGCCACGUCCUUCCUCCUAGGGCCCAUAUUCUGAUGGAAGGAGUCAGACGAAAGGCAGAGAAAUGCAAUAGAAAAUCGAAUACUGCAUGUGAUGAUUGAUAAGUGAAAUCUAAACAUUGGGUACUCGUGGACACGAAGAGGGGAACAACAGACGCUGUGGACAACUAGAGCUACGGGUGGAAAAGUCUCAAGCCACCAGCUCAGCAGCUGCAUCUUCAAGGAGGCAUCUGGCAGGGAGGCUGCAGCUGGAGCACUGAUUGGCGACAUUCAUCACAGCUCACUGUCGUGCUCUGGGAUCUGGCUGGUCUUUAAAGGAUACAUCUGCUGAGACCUGCUGGCCACUUCCAUGUCUUUGUUUUCAUCCCCUUUUGCUGCUAUAACAAAACACUUCAGACUGGGUAAUUUGUGAAGAACAGAAAUUGAUUGUUGGCAGCUAGGAAGGCUGGGAAGUCCAAGAGCAAGGCACCUGCAGGUUCAGAGUAAGGUGAGGGCUGCUGUCUGCUUCUAGACGGUGCCUUGUUGCUGCAUCCUCCAGGGGGAAGGAACCCUGUGUCCUCACAUGGCAGAAGGCGGAGGAACUUAAUCAUUCCCCAGAAGGACAACCUUUCCCCAACACCAGCGUGCGGAUUAAGUUUUAACUUGAAUUUUCAAGGGCACACCCAUGGAAACCCCAACAUUCUUCUUUUGAGAAAUGUCUAUUCUGGUUCUCUGCUCAUUUUCUAAUUUGGUAUUUGAUUUCUGUCUAUUCAGCUGUCUGAGCUCCUUAAAUAGUUUGGAUAUUAACUCAUUAAAACACAUUGCUAAAUUGUACAAGGUUUGAACUAUAAAGGGUAUAUCAUACUGUAUACUAUCUGUUAAAAUUUGCUUUUAUAUUCAGCAUUGUGCUAAUAAGGGUUAUACAAAUUUUUGCCUGGAGCUGUGAGUUAUUCAUCUUAAAUGCUCUAUCAUAUUUCAUGAUUUGAUUAUAUUAUGUUUUAUUUAUCCAUUAUUCUGUCAAUGGAAGGUUUUCAACUUUUUUUUUUUUUUUUUGAGAUGGAGUUUCGCUCUUGUUGCCCAGGCUGGAGUGCAGUGGCGCGAUCUCAGCUCACCGCAACCUCCGCCUCCCGGCUUCAAGUGAUUCUCCAGCCUCAGCCUCCCGAGCAGCUAGGAUUACAGGCAUGCACUACCACGCCUGGCUAAUUUUGUAUUUUUAGUAGAGAUGGGGUUUCUCCAUGUUGGUCAUGCUGGUCUCAAACUCCCAACCUCAGGUGAUCCGCCUGCCUCAGCUUCCCAAAGUGCUGGGAUUACACACGUGAGCCACCACGCCUGGCUGUUUUUCAACUUUUUGAACGGUAAAGAGACCACUCUAAAUGUUCGCCUGGAUGUUUGUCCUGGAUAUAAAUCAAGGAAUGGGGUAAACUGGCUACAUAAUCUACACAUCAUUAACUUCACAAGAUAAUGUCACAUUUUAUCACAAAAUGCUUUCACAAAGUUUACUAUCACUGAGAUUGUGCCUGAGACAUGAUAAACUAAAAUAUUUAGUACAGCUGAGUAUUAUCAUAUUUGUUACUUUUGCCAACAUAACAGGUGUAAAUGUAUAUUUUUAUCUCUCUGUGUAAAUGAUUGUAAACAUCUCUUUUUAUGCCUAUUAGCCAUAUAUAUUUCUUUGUGAAAUAUCUAUUCAUGUUUUUGACCAUUGUUUUCUUUGGUUUUUAUUUUUCUUAUCAAAUUUCAGAAUUUUUCUGUAUUGUUUACACCAGGCCUUUGGGAGUUAUGCAUGUGGCAAAUGGCUUCUUGCCUUCUUGUCUUGUUUUCUGGUGUGUGGGGUGCUUUUAAUAUUCUUAAUGGGUACUUUUAUGAAUAGAAAAUCUUAAUUAGAAUUGAUUCAUAUUGAUUGAUCUUUAUUAUUUACACAUUUGUACUGAAAUAAAUAUUUUAAUAUCAGAACUUAGAACUUUAAAAAGUUAGUAAAAUGUACAUAUAUAUGCAUACAUAUAUGUUACUUUUUUCUCUAUAAAAUUUUUGGUUUUGCCUUCAACAUUUAAAUUACUUUUCUGGUUUAAAUGUAAAUAUAUGAUGUAGGGUGAGAACCACAUUUUCACUUUUUUAACAUGAAUAAUUAUUUUUUCACCUCUAUUUUUCAACAGCUUCUCUUCUUCAGCAACCUAUCAUGUCGUCACUGUUAUAUAUUAAGGUUUCAGAUAUAUUUCUGUGCUUUCUAUGUUAUAAUUUUUGUGCAUUCAUAUGUCCCCAAUACAAUCUCUCUUAAACAAUAAUAAUUUCAAAGUAAUUUAUUUUACUUCUCUUCUUUGGAGGAAUAUUUCUAUUCUUGACUUUUUAACUUUCAAUAUAAAUUUAAAAAUUGAUUUGUGAAAUUUCACACAACGUAUGUACACAGAUCAUGAUACAUAUGC